CGGUAAAUAAUUUUUGCAGCGUAAAAGCCAAAUAAAUUCAUACAUACUGUAAUACAGAUAACCAAAGCAUAAGAUUUAAUUUACAGUGACACGUGAGUCCACGAACGACCAAAAGUAUCAAAAGCAAUAAACCUACAGUUUUUGAGGAUGCAAGCCCAAUUGUAGCCCUCAACGAAAUGAGCUAUUUAUUGACUAUCUUGAGCCUAAAAGGGGUGGAAAGAAGGGUGGUGAGAUUAUAUAAUCCCAGUGAGUAAACAAAUACCAUCUAAAAUAUCUAAAACUAAGCCAAUAGAGACAGAUAAAAUAGUUUAACAUACUGUAAUUCAUCACCUUUCAACUCAUUUUAACCAAAUAAAAUCAAUUCAUAUAAAUCGAGUAAUCAACAUGGCUUAUAAAUUUCUUAAAAGCUUUGGCUCGUGCCAAAAUCAUUCUCAUACUCAGUUAUCAGGGAUACCUUAGCUGUGGGCUAUCCCAACCGAGUUCGCCAAGGCUAUUAAAAAGUUAUGUACGUAUAAAUCAUGUUUUUAUUUUGAAAACAUAGCCGGUCCUUGGCGUUGGCUGAGUUCACCCUCACAUGGUGGUUUUGCGUGAAGUGAACUCUAAAGUGUUAACCUCAGGAGUUAUCCAUCCGCACCUCUCAUACUGAGGUAUGAAUAUAAUAAGGUUACCGUGCCCCCUCUAAUAGGCUGGUCCAUGGAACUCGUCCACUGCAGGACUAAUCAAUAACUCACCAAUUCAAUAAAAUUUAAUAGCAUGACAUGGCAAUUUUAUCAUUAUGCAGCCUAUCAAGGCAAACAACAGUUUAUUCAUUUUCAACACAAGUACCAAUUCAACCAUUCAUGCCAAUAUUAUCAUAAGCCAUUGAAUUCAAACCAUGAUUUAUAACACAACAAUUAGUCUCCAAUUACUCCAUUUUCAAAACCAUCUUUCAAUUUCAAGACAAUUUUAUAAAAUCAUUUCAUUUAAACACAUUUUGUUUAUAAAACAUAAAGAUUUACCAUUUAAACUCAUUUUCCAUAAAAUCACAAAAUCGGAUAAAAACCACUUUAGAUAAUUAAGACGAUAGUAAGGUUACUCACUAUUUCGAGAGUUGAAUUCAGAGUACUCUAAUUCUUGAUCCUCGGGUACUAUCCCUUUACUUUUGCCAGAAUGGUCACCACCUAGACAUAAUGCACAAUAAGCCAUUUACUACAUUUGUGCUAAAUUGUUAUAAAACCAAUUCAGGCUCUAUACUAAUGCAUGAAAUGGGAUGUAAAUUGUUCAGAUUAUUGUCUAAACACGGUGUUCUACACAAAUUCAAUUGUAUACCUAAACAAAACGGUAUUGGCCUAACUCGAUCUAUCACUUGAUUAAUUGGCCAAUAUGUCCAAUUCAACUCCAAAUAAUUGCAUCUCUCUCCCAAUACUUUGAAUCACCAAACACAAGUCAAAUAACAUAAAAUUUAGUAAAACCAUCCUCAUAUUUUCUCUUGAAAAAUUCGGCCAUGGUGGGUGCAUUAACACUAUAAUUUUUCAAGCUUGAUUCUCACACCAUAAAUCACAAAUUCCUAACCAAAUCACUUGAAAUAAAAUCAAAAUCAUCCUCAAUAUUCCACAUGGAGAAUUCGGCCAAUGAUGGGUGAUGAAAAAACAUGAAUUUUUCUUGCUUGAUUUUCAUGCUACACAUCACCAAUCAACUAAAAACACUAAAAGACAUUGAAAUCAAGCAUCAAAACCUCUCUCUAAGUGUUCAGGCAGCAAGAUACCCAUCAUGAAACCAUGUGAUUCAACCAUGGAAAAUGAAAAAUAAUAUAUGGGAAAGGUAGAUCACAAGUCAAAAUCCAGAAAUUUUACCUUUGAUUGCUUGAUUAGUUGAGAUCCACCAAUUUUCUCUUGAAUUUUCACCCUAGGGUUCUUGUUCUUUCUUUUCUUCCUUUGGUCUUGCUU
Molecule: long non-coding RNA, 1925 nt
Filed under: Theobroma cacao (cacao)
Lineage: Eukaryota; Viridiplantae; Streptophyta; Magnoliopsida; Malvales; Malvaceae
Description: long non-coding RNA (TCAC_LNC003051)
Source: RNAcentral